This is a long non-coding RNA of Lolium rigidum, 1966 nucleotides long. RefSeq lists it as uncharacterized. The record is from RefSeq and is a predicted model, not a curated record. Lineage: Eukaryota; Viridiplantae; Streptophyta; Magnoliopsida; Poales; Poaceae. The transcript is spliced from 6 exons.
CCUAAAAAUGCAAGGUUCCAGCCUCCUCAUGCUCGUGCUUGUGCUUGUGCAGAUAAGGAGAAGAGGUUUGGUGACACUCCGUUUCAUGUCUUUAGUUGGAUUAGGGUUGAAGAUUCUAGGUUCUGUUUACGGGAGUUCAUGAUUUUAAUGGUUUCUAGCUUCUGUUAAAUAUUUGUGCUACAACGCUUGUAUAUACACAUAUCAUGAUCACAUAAAUAGAAUUUUUCAUAUAUUGGAAUCUGUCCAUUUCCUUGUGUGGAAGAACAAGCAAACACAUUUUUUCCUUUUUAGCCUUGCAUGAGUAUUUGUUCAAACCGAAUGCCUGCAUUAUGUGUUAAUACCUAUGCUGCAGUAUAUUUCAACUUUGUACACCUUGUCCCGGUUAUGCUGCACUUUGUUGUGCUAUUGUCCGCAUCUACGUAUUUGUAUCAUUUUUUACUGGAAAUUGCAUUUCAUUUAGUUUGAAUCUUUUAGAACAUUUUGUAUUUUGCAAGUUUAUCUUGGUAGAUUAACCAUGUGUUGUGUCUCUUGUAACUAUAACUCGCUUCUCUACGUACUGAAAAGAUAUGCUAAGCUUCUGUACGUUUGGUUGCAACAGCUCCAUGGGUGAGCUGAUGUGGGAGACGGAGAGGUUGAGCCGGAGGAGCUGCGCAGCUUGCCUGCCUGUGGCGACCACAUGCAGCAGUGCUAUCUUGCCGGCGACGACGGCCAGCAACGCCGCUACACCGUGCGCCCUCCUGCUCAGGCCUUCCCGCCACCCUGACUGAGAGGGCACCCCUGCCCCAGCCUAUAGCUGCAGGACGACACAAGGCAGCAGCAGCUGCUGCUGUAUGUGUUCAUUGAUGGGCUUCUGCCAUUUGGAGUCGCUGGAGAUGCUGAUUAAAACCUGUGGAGAUUUUGUUCAGAUGCAUGUUGCCGAGAGGGAUAUACUCCAUGAAAUGGUGAAGAUAGUUAAGAAAAAGCCUUGAUUAUCCUGUAAAAGAGAAGAUACCCAGUCUGAUAGGCGCAUGGCAAGAAGCUUUUGGUGGUGCCCGUGCAAGAUAUCCACAAUAUUAUGCGGCAUAUGAAGAGCUUAUUGUUGGAGCAAAAUAGAUUCAGAAUGGCGUGUGAUCGCUCCCGCCGAGAGUGGCUCGCCGUGGCGCAGGGAUGGCGUCGGGAGGCACGGUGGAACGAGCCUGUGGCCGCUUGACCAAGCUGCUGCUGUAGGCGGUCCAGCUGGAGCUUCUGCCUGGGCGACCUCGCGCCCAAGCUGCUGCCGCCAGCCAUGUCCCUAAGGUGCUGCUGCUUCUGGCCACCAAUCCGAGCUGCUACUGCCUGUGAGAGUAUCUCAGCCAUGCAAGCUUAAAGGUUCACCAAGUUUAGCGGAAAAAAGACCUUAUUGACAAAGACAUGGCAAUUCGCAAGUAUGGUUGUAUAGUGAAGGAUAAUGGGAGGUUCUGUGCUUGGAGGUGUACCUAUACUUGACUAACUGAAGUAGUGAAGUGUAACUGGGGCAACUCCAUCUGUUCCGCCAUCCGGCGUCUGCGACACCUUUGACUCCAUCUCCAUCCGUAACACCCGGAGGAACCCAAGCAGAAGCGGCAGCAGGCAUGAAGCAUAUCAUGUACAAGGAGCCUAUGUGUUAUGUGCAUUGUGUGUCGAAUAUAUCAUGAAUUUUCGUGGUUAUUCUUCCUGUGGCUUGGGCUAUGUAUGUAUUGUGUGUGCUUUAUGCUUGUGUGAGAGCAGCCCACCAUUGAUGUAGCCGGUACAGAUAACAUGUGUGUGUGAACUCAAUGGUUCUUUUUUUGUUGAAUGAAAGCUAUAGUAUGUACCUUUGUAUAAACUCAAUCAGAUAGCAUGUACUCCGUCUUAUUUGGUUCAAACCAUUCUCUCUCUAGCUGGUGUAAACAAUGUAUUCCUUAAGUCGGGAACAAGUUUUAUGAGUAGGAAAAGGGUUGGAUUUUAACCGUUGGACAAUUUUUUUGGC